AGAGUUUGAUCCUGGCUCAGGAUGAACGCUAGCUACAGGCUUAACACAUGCAAGUCGAGGGGAAACGAUAUUGGAAGCUUGCUUCCGAUAGGCGUCGACCGGCGCACGGGUGAGUAACGCGUAUCCAACCUGCCCAUCACUUGGGGAUAACCUUGCGAAAGUAAGACUAAUACCCAAUGACGUCUCUAGAAGACAUCUGAAGGAGAUUAAAGAUUUAUCGGUGAUGGAUGGGGAUGCGUCAGAUUAGCUUGUUGGCGGGGUAACGGCCCACCAAGGCUACGAUCAGUAGGGGUUCUGAGAGGAAGGUCCCCCACAUUGGAACUGAGACACGGUCCAAACUCCUACGGGAGGCAGCAGUGAGGAAUAUUGGUCAAUGGACGAGAGUCUGAACCAGCCAAGUAGCGUGCAGGAUGACGGCCCUAUGGGUUGUAAACUGCUUUUAUAAGGGAAUAAAGUGAGCCUCGUGAGGCUUUUUGCAUGUACCUUAUGAAUAAGGACCGGCUAAUUCCGUGCCAGCAGCCGCGGUAAUACGGAAGGUCCGGGCGUUAUCCGGAUUUAUUGGGUUUAAAGGGAGCGUAGGCCGGAGAUUAAGCGUGUUGUGAAAUGUAGACGCUCAACGUCUGCACUGCAGCGCGAACUGGUUUCCUUGAGUACGCACAAAGUGGGCGGAAUUCGUGGUGGAGCGGUGAAAUGCUUAGAUAUCACGAAGAACUCCGAUUGCGAAGGCAGCUCACUGGAGCGCAACUGACGCUGAAGCUCGAAAGUGCGGGUAUCGAACAGGAUUAGAUACCCUGGUAGUCCACACCGUAAACGAUGAUUACUAGGUGUUGGAGGAUUGACCCCUUCAGUGCCGCAGUUAACACAAUAAGUAAUCCACCUGGGGAGUACGACCGCAAGGUUGAAACUCAAAGGAAUUGACGGGGGCCCGCACAAGCAGUGGAGUAUGUGGUUUAAUUCGACGCAACGCGAAGAACCUUACCAAGUCUUGACAUCCCUUGACAGACAUAGAAAUAUGUAAUCUCUUCGGAGCAAGGAGACAGGUGGUGCAUGGUUGUCGUCAGCUCGUGUCGUGAGAUGUUGGGUUAAGUCCCGCAACGAGCGCAACCCUUAUGGUCAGUUACUACGCAAGAGGACUCUGGCCAGACUGCCGUUGACAAAACGGAGGAAGGUGGGGAUGACGUCAAAUCAUCAUGCCCUUUAUGACUUGGGCUACACACGUACUACAAUGGCGUUAAACAAAGAGAAGCAAGACCGCGAGGUGGAGCAAAACUCAGAAACAACGUCCCAGUUCGGACUGCAGGCUGCAACUCGCCUGCACGAAGUCGGAAUUGCUAGUAAUCGUGGAUCAGCAUGCCACGGUGAAUACGUUCCCGGGCCUUGUACACACCGCCCGUCACACCAUGAGAGCCGGGGGGACCCGAAGUCGGUAGUCUAACCGCAAGGAGGACGCCGCCGAAGGUAAAACUGGUGAUUGGGGUGAAGUCGUAACAAGGUA
RNAcentral lists this ribosomal RNA (1495 nucleotides) under metagenome. RNAcentral describes it as "bacterial SSU rRNA". It matches the Rfam family "Bacterial small subunit ribosomal RNA". The record is from RNAcentral.